CUGGCUCAGGACGAACGCUGGCGGCGUGCCUAAUACAUGCAAGUCGAGCGGACAGAUGGGAGCUUGCUCCCUGAUGUUAGCGGCGGACGGGUGAGUAACACGUGGGUAACC
Molecule: ribosomal RNA, 111 nt
Filed under: Bacillus subtilis J26
Lineage: Bacteria; Bacillati; Bacillota; Bacilli; Caryophanales; Bacillaceae
Description: partial 16S ribosomal RNA
Rfam family: Bacterial small subunit ribosomal RNA
Source: RNAcentral